This 348-nucleotide unclassified non-coding RNA is filed under the name soil metagenome. RNAcentral's name for it is "partial contains 5.8S ribosomal RNA, internal transcribed spacer 2, and large subunit ribosomal RNA". The stretch from base 1 to 120 matches the Rfam family "5.8S ribosomal RNA", at positions 35 to 154 of the family's 154-position model. The record is from RNAcentral.
GAUGAAGAACGUAGCAAAAUGCGAUAAGUAAUGUGAAUUGCAGAAUUCAGUGAAUCAUCGAAUCUUUGAACGCACAUUGCGCCCGCUGGUAUUCCGGCGGGCAUGCCUGUUCGAGCGUCAUUUCAACCCUCAAGCCCCCGGGUUUGGUGUUGGGGAUCGGCUCUGCCCUUCUGGGCGGUGCCGCCCCCGAAAUACAUCGGCGGUCUCGCUGCAGCCUCCAUUGCGUAGUAGCUAACACCUCGCAACUGGAACGCGGCGCGGCCAUGCCGUAAAACCCCAACUUCUGAAUGUUGACCUCGGAUCAGGUAGGAAUACCCGCUGAACUUAAGCAUAUCAAUAAGCGGAGGA